Molecule: ribosomal RNA, 229 nt
Filed under: uncultured bacterium
Lineage: Bacteria
Description: partial 16S ribosomal RNA
Rfam family: Bacterial small subunit ribosomal RNA
Source: RNAcentral
UACGUAGGCGGAAAAUUAAGUCAGUAGUGAAAUCCUGCAGCUCAACUGUAGAACUGUUAUUGAUACUGGUUUUCUUGAAUAUUGUUGAGGUAGGCGGAAUGUGUAAUGUAGCGGUGAAAUGCUUAGAUAUUACACAGAACACCGAUUGCGAAGGCAGCUUACUAAGCAAUUAUUGACGCUGAGGUACGAAAGCGUGGGGAGCGAACAGGAUUAGAUACCCUGUUAGUCC